This 528-nucleotide ribosomal RNA is filed under the name uncultured bacterium. RNAcentral's name for it is "bacterial SSU rRNA". It matches the Rfam family "Bacterial small subunit ribosomal RNA", at positions 355 to 896 of the family's 1533-position model. The record is from RNAcentral.
UGGGGAAUAUUGGACAAUGGACCGAGAGUCUGAUCCAGCAAUUCUGUGUGCACGAUGAAGUUUUUCGGAAUGUAAAGUGCUUUCAGUUGGGAAGAAAAAAAUGACGGUACCAACAGAAGAAGAGUGACGGUAACAUCNGNAGAAGCGCCGGCUAUAAUACGUAUGUCACGAGCGUUAUCCGGAUUUAUUGGGCGUAAAGCGCGUCUAGGUGGUUAUAUAAGUUUGAUGUGAAAAUACAGGGCUCAAAUCUGUNUUGGCGUUGGAAACUGUAUAACUAGAGUACUGGAGAGGUAAGCGGAACUACAAGUGUAGAGGUGAAAUUCGUAGAUAUUUUGUAGGAAUGCCGAUGGGGAAGCCAGCUUACUGGACAGAUACUGACGCUGAAGCGCGAAAGCGUGGGUAGCAAACAGGAUUAGAUACCCUGGUAGUCCACGCCGUAAACGAUGAUUACUAGGUGUUGGGGGUCGAACCUCAGCGCCCAAGCAAACGCGAUAAGUAAUCCGCCUGGGGAGUACGUACGCAAGUAUG